Molecule: ribosomal RNA, 489 nt
Filed under: uncultured bacterium
Lineage: Bacteria
Description: bacterial SSU rRNA
Rfam family: Bacterial small subunit ribosomal RNA
Source: RNAcentral
UAGAGUUUGAUCAUGGCUCAGGACGAACGCUGGCGGUGUGCCUAAAACAUGCAAGUCGAACGAGAUCUUCGGAUUUAGUGGCGAACGGCGGAGUAAGACAUGAGGAACGUGCCCUGAAGACUGGGAUAUACAGAAGAAAUUCUGGGUAAUACCGGAUGUGUCCAAUUACUGGCAUCAGUGAUUGGGUAAAUGGUUUUUCGCUUCAGGAGCGCCUCAUGCCCCAUCGGGUAGUUGGUAGGGUAAUGGCCUACCAAGCCGACGACGGGUAGCGGGUCUGAGAGGAUGAUCCGCCCGAUUGGGACUGAGACACGGCCCAAACUCCUACGGGAGGCAGCAGUGGGGAAUAUUGGACAAUGGGCGCAAGCCUGAUGCAGCAACGCCGCGUGAGCGAUGAAGGCCUUCGGGUCGUAAAGCUCUGUCGCAUGGGAAGAUAAUGACGGUACCAUGUGAGGAAGCCCCGGCUAACUACGUGCCAGCAGCCGCGGUAAU